AUUGAACGCUGGCGGAAUGCUUUACACAUGCAAGUCGAACGGCAGCACGGGGCAACCUGGUGGCGAGUGGCGAACGGGUGAGUAAUACAUCGGAACGUGCCCAAUCGUGGGGGAUAACGUAGCGAAAGUUACGCUAAUACCGCAUACGAUCUACGGAUGAAAGCGGGGGACCGCAAGGCCUCGCGCGAUUGGAGCGGCCGAUGGCAGAUUAGGUAGUUGGUGGGGUAAAAGCUCACCAAGGCGACGAUCUGUAGCUGGUCUGAGAGGACGACCAGCCACACUGGAACUGAGACACGGUCCAGACUCCUACGGGAGGCAGCAGUGGGGAAUUUUGGACAAUGGGCGCAAGCCUGAUCCAGCAAUGCCGCGUGCAGGAUGAAGGCCUUCGGUUGUAACUGCUUUGUACGGUACGAAACGGUGAGCUCUAAUAAAGACUUGCUAAUGACGGUACCGUAAGAAUAAGCACCGGCCUAACUACGUGCCAGCAGCCGAC
Molecule: ribosomal RNA, 493 nt
Filed under: uncultured bacterium
Lineage: Bacteria
Description: bacterial SSU rRNA
Rfam family: Bacterial small subunit ribosomal RNA
Source: RNAcentral